UAUUUGCCAUUUUGUCUUCAGGACCAAAGAAUGCUAAACACGACUUGAACGGCUUCUUUGGGAACAGUGGCUACUAAGGUGGACACUGCUGUCAUCUCCUUUUAUUCCCAUGUGUCAUUGUAAGAUAGUUGUCGUCUCUACCUUAUUGUAUAUUAGAGCUUAUUUACGUAACCUUUUAGAUAUUGACUUGCCAUCUUAUCUGUGUAUUUUAUAUAUAUAUA
Syngnathus acus (greater pipefish) is the source of this 221-nucleotide long non-coding RNA. RefSeq lists it as uncharacterized. The transcript has 2 exons. Lineage: Eukaryota; Metazoa; Chordata; Actinopteri; Syngnathiformes; Syngnathidae. The record is from RefSeq and is a predicted model, not a curated record.